This 497-nucleotide ribosomal RNA is filed under the name uncultured bacterium. Its description in RNAcentral is "partial 16S ribosomal RNA". It matches the Rfam family "Bacterial small subunit ribosomal RNA", at positions 28 to 507 of the family's 1533-position model. The record is from RNAcentral.
GAUGAACGCUGGCGGCGUGCCUAAUACAUGCAAGUCGAGCGAACGGACGAGAAGCUUGCUUCUCUGAUGUUAGCGGCGGACGGGUGAGUAACACGUGGAUAACCUACCUAUAAGACUGGGAUAACUUCGGGAAACCGGAGCUAAUACCGGAUGAUAUUUUGAACCGCAUGGUUCAAAAGUGAAAGACGGUCUUGCUGUCACUUAUAGAUGGAUCCGCGCUGCAUUAGCUAGUUGGUAAGGUAACGGCUUACCAAGGCAACGAUGCAUAGCCGACUUGAGAGGGUGAUAGGCCACACUGGAACUGAGACACGGUCCAGACUCCUACGGGAGGCAGCAGUAGGGAAUCUUCCGCAAUGGGCGAAAGCCUGACGGAGCAACGCCGCGUGAGUGAUGAAGGUCUUCGGAUCGUAAAACUCUGUUAUUAGGGAAGAACAUAUGUGUAAGUAACUGUGCACAUCUUGACGGUACCUAAUCAGAAAGCCACGGCUAACUACGUG